AACUUUCAACAACGGAUCUCUUGGUUCUGGCAUCGAUGAAGAACGCAGCGAAAUGCGAUAAGUAAUGUGAAUUGCAGACACCGUGAAUCAUCGAAUCUUUGAACGCACAUUGCGCCCUUUGGUAUUCCGAAGGGCAUGCCUGUUCGAGCGUCA
RNAcentral lists this ribosomal RNA (153 nucleotides) under Discohainesia oenotherae. Its description in RNAcentral is "5.8S ribosomal RNA". It matches the Rfam family "5.8S ribosomal RNA". Rfam says of the family: 5.8S ribosomal RNA (5.8S rRNA) is a component of the large subunit of the eukaryotic ribosome. Lineage: Eukaryota; Fungi; Ascomycota; Leotiomycetes; Chaetomellales; Chaetomellaceae. The record is from RNAcentral.